Molecule: long non-coding RNA, 550 nt
Organism: Pantherophis guttatus
Lineage: Eukaryota; Metazoa; Chordata; Lepidosauria; Squamata; Colubridae
Source: RefSeq, a predicted model, not a curated record
CCUCACUCGGUCCUCGGAUGGGGCGAACCUUUUUCCCGGUUGGCUGGUUUUGGCGUUGGUUCCUUGAGGAAGAAUAGAGAUGUCAUUCGAACUCACCACCCACCCAGGCGAUCUUUAAAAAAAAAAAAAAGCUUUUAAAAAAAUAAAUAAAUACAUUGGGCUGUGCUCUGUCUGGGGGACCUUCAUCAAUGGAAGCUUUCAAGAAGAGAACUGGACUGCCAUCUGUCAGAAAUGCUGUAAAACAUGAACUUUGCAAGAAGCAAGCAAGAGAUUUUGCAAUGAUGAAGACCCAUAACUUAUCCCUGCUUCGGAAUGGUGACCAGAGCACUACGGAGCAAUUCAUUCCAAGCCAUUUGGCUCUUCUCUGCCCGAGCCAUGGGUGAUGACAGGACUCCUUUAAGAGCUUGCAGUGAUGCAGCAACAGUCAUAGAGGGAAGUUGAGAAGCAAAUUCUGAAGGCAAAGUUAAGAGAGCAAAAUCCUGAAGUGCAGCAAGCCAGAGUUUGCUCAGAUUCCCUAGAUCCACUUGGACUAAAUCCAGAAGUUCAUCCA